This 886-nucleotide ribosomal RNA is filed under the name uncultured eukaryote. RNAcentral describes it as "SSU rRNA". It matches the Rfam family "Eukaryotic small subunit ribosomal RNA", at positions 564 to 1472 of the family's 1831-position model. The record is from RNAcentral.
GUGCCAAGCAGCCGCGGUAAUUCCAGCUCCAAUAGCGUAUAUUAAAGUUGUUGUGGUUAAAAAGCUCGUAGUUGGAUCUCGGCGGUCUGAGGGCGGUUCGCUUCAGAGCGCUACUGCCCUAUAGACCGUAGUUUUGCCAGAGGUCUCAGGGUGCUCUUAACCGAGUGUCUUGCGAUGCUGGCAGGUUUACUUUGAAAAAAUUAGAGUGCUCAAAGCAGGCUUUUACGCCUGAAUAUUCGUGCAUGGAAUAAUAGAAUAGGAAGUCGUUUCUAUUUUGUUGGUUUUCGGAAAUCGACUUAAUGAUUAAUAGGGACAGUCGGGGGCAUUUGUAUUCAAACGACAGAGGUGAAAUUCUUGGACCGUUUGAAGACAAACUACUGCGAAAGCAUUUGCCAAGAAUGUUUUCAUUAAUCAAGAACGAAAGUUAGAGGUUCGAAGGCGAUUAGAUACCGCCCUAGUUCUAACCAUAAACGAUGCCAGCUAGCGAUCUGCCGACGUUUUUUUUGUAGACUCGGCAGGAAGCUUCCGGGAAACCAAAGCAUUUGGGUUCCAGGGGAAGUAUGGUUGCAAAGCUGAAACUUAAAGGAAUUGACGGAAGGGCACCACCAGGAGUGGAGCCUGUGGCUUAAUUUGACUCAACACGGGAAAUCUCACCAGGCCCGGACACUGGAAGGAUUGACAGAUUGAUAGCUCUUUCUUGAUUCGGUGGGUGGUGGUGCAUGGCCGUUCUUAGUUGGUGGAGUGAUUUGUCUGGUUAAUUCCGAUAACGAACGAGACUCUGUCCUGCUAAAUAGUGUCCGCCUCUCUUUUGGGCGGACAAUUUUUCUUAGAGGGACUGGCGACUUUUAGUCGCACGAGAUUGAGCAAUAACAGGUCUGUGAUGCCC